GGCUGGACGGAAUAGAUCCUUUAAGAGUCGAUGGCGGAAUAUCUCCGUCAGGAGUCGCCGGCGAUUUUGUCCGUGGUUUAACAGAGUCCCAAGUAAAUCCAGAGGAAGCAAACUCGUUAUAUGCUUUGGUGACUGCGAUUUUUCUCCCUAAGCGAUAUAAAUUAUAAUUACAACUGCGCCCAACUACACCACAUCAUAUCUGCUCCUUUUUUAAUAUAUAUUAAUAUAGAUGCACUAUAUUGAUAAUCCCAUUAACAAAAAUGUCAAAAUAAUUUUUCAAUUCCUAGAAAAUUCCAAUUUAACUUAAUGGAAUCACAGUGGUGGUGAUGUUGGCCGUUUUUAUCAAGAGGAUCACUUAAACGCUAGACAAAAUUCAGCGAACAGUCGAGCAUCAGCAUCAGUGGAGCUCUCUGCACCACCCCAAAAAUGGCAUUUUAUGCCUACAAAGCCUUGACGUAUCAGGAAAGGGGAAAGAAAUGUCUGCAAUACGUUCAAGAUACUCAGAUCAAUGGGCAUCUCAGCACUUUGAUCACUCAUCUAUUCUAAUGUACAACUACUGCGUUUCAAGGAAGUACACGAAUACCUGCUUCAAUAUAAGCAUCCCUCACAGAGACGAAUGGCCCCCGACGGGCCCCUUUACAUCCUCACCAUCUACUGUGAUUAGCUGAAUUUUA
Molecule: long non-coding RNA, 674 nt
Organism: Drosophila pseudoobscura
Lineage: Eukaryota; Metazoa; Arthropoda; Insecta; Diptera; Drosophilidae
Exons: 2
Source: RefSeq, a predicted model, not a curated record